Molecule: ribosomal RNA, 277 nt
Filed under: uncultured prokaryote
Description: partial 16S ribosomal RNA
Rfam family: Bacterial small subunit ribosomal RNA
Source: RNAcentral
UACGUAGGUGGCAAGCGUUGUCCGGAUUUACUGGGCGUAAAGGGAGCGUAGGCGGACUUUUAAGUGAGAUGUGAAAUACCCGGGCUCAACUUGGGUGCUGCAUUUCAAACUGGAAGUCUAGGGUGCAGGAGAGGAGAAUGGAAUUCCUAGUGUAGCGGUGAAAUGCGUAGAUAUUAGGAAGAACACCAGUGGCGAAGGCGGCUUUCUGGCCUGUAACUGACGCUGAGACGCGAAAGCCAGGGUAGCGAACGGGAUUAGAUACCCGUGUAGUCCCUGA